This 849-nucleotide ribosomal RNA is filed under the name uncultured Gammaproteobacteria bacterium. RNAcentral's name for it is "bacterial SSU rRNA". It matches the Rfam family "Bacterial small subunit ribosomal RNA", at positions 45 to 885 of the family's 1533-position model. Lineage: Bacteria; Pseudomonadati; Pseudomonadota; Gammaproteobacteria. The record is from RNAcentral.
UGCUUAACACAUGCAAGUCGAACGGAAACGAUACUAGCUUGCUAGUAGGCGUCGAGUGGCGGACGGGUGAGUAACGCGUAGGAAUCUGCCUGAUAGUGGGGGAUAGCCCGAAGAAAUUCGGAUUAAUACCGCAUAAUCUAUUCGUAGUAAAGUGGGGGACUUUCGAGCCUCACGCUAUCAGAUGAGCCUGCGUAAGAUUAGCUUGUUGGUAGGGUAAAAGCCUACCAAGGCGACGAUCUUUAGCUGGUCUGAGAGGAUGAUCAGCCACAUCGGGACUGAGACACGGCCCGAACUCCUACGGGAGGCAGCAGUGGGGAAUAUUGGACAAUGGGGGCAACCCUGAUCCAGCAAUACCGCGUGUGUGAAGAAGGCCUGAGGGUUGUAAAGCACUUUCAAUUGUGAAGAAAAGUUAGCGGUUAAUAACCGUUAGCCUUGACGUUAACUUUAGAAGAAGCACCGGCUAACUCCGUGCCAGCAGCCGCGGUAAUACGGAGGGUGCAAGCGUUAAUCGGAAUUACUGGGCGUAAAGCGUGCGUAGGUGGUUUAUUAAGUCAGAUGUGAAAGCCCCGGGCUUAACCUGGGAACUGCAUUUGAAACUGGUCAACUAGAGUAUGGUAGAGGAAAGUGGAAUUUCUGGUGUAGCGGUGAAAUGCGUAGAUAUCAGAAGGAACAUCAAUGGCGAAGGCAGCUUUCUGGACCAAUACUGACACUGAGGUACGAAAGCGUGGGUAGCAAACAGGAUUAGAUACCCUGGUAGUCCACGCCGUAAACGAUGAUAACUAGCCGUUGGGGGGAUUUACCCUUUAGUGGCGAAGCUAACGCGUUAAGUUAUCCGCCUGGGGAGUACGG